Molecule: small RNA, 244 nt
Filed under: Paenibacillus yonginensis
Lineage: Bacteria; Bacillati; Bacillota; Bacilli; Caryophanales; Paenibacillaceae
Description: BsrG
Rfam family: BsrG
About the family: bsrE, bsrG and bsrH pair through intermolecular interactions with antisense sRNAs. SR4 interaction with the 3'UTR of bsrG RNA promotes bsrG degradation and inhibits its translation. SR5 also overlaps bsrG from nucleotide 163 to 52 (Rfam overlap check).
Source: Rfam by way of RNAcentral
UACAAUAUACGGCUAUAAGAGCGGUCGGCUAAUCUCCCAGAAGGGACGUGAUGCCCAUGGAGGUCAAAGAUGCACUUUCCUUAAUGUUCAUGUUCGGCAUGUUCAUUCUGGCAUUGCUUACCUACAUGAAAAAGGAAUAGACCGCCCUGCCUAAGGAAACGGUCUAUUCUGCGACCUGACUGAUGUGUGGCCGACUGCUCUUUAUGCAGUUAUUGUACUUUGGAGUCGUGUUAGCGCACGGCUC